Molecule: ribosomal RNA, 267 nt
Filed under: Escherichia coli
Lineage: Bacteria; Pseudomonadati; Pseudomonadota; Gammaproteobacteria; Enterobacterales; Enterobacteriaceae
Description: partial 16S ribosomal RNA
Rfam family: Bacterial small subunit ribosomal RNA
Source: RNAcentral
AAAUUGAAGAGUUUGAUCAUGGCUCAGAUUGAACGCUGGCGGCAGGCCUAACACAUGCAAGUCGAACGGUAACAGGAAGAAGCUUGCUUCUUUGCUGACGAGUGGCGGACGGGUGAGUAAUGUCUGGGAAACUGCCUGAUGGAGGGGGAUAACUACUGGAAACGGUAGCUAAUACCGCAUAACGUCGCAAGACCAAAGAGGGGGACCUUCGGGCCUCUUGCCAUCGGAUGUGCCCAGAUGGGAUUAGCUAGUAGGUGGGGUAACGGC